Small nuclear RNA from Gasterosteus aculeatus aculeatus (three-spined stickleback), 167 nucleotides. Its record names the gene U1. It matches the Rfam family "U1 spliceosomal RNA". From Rfam's summary of the family: U1 is a small nuclear RNA (snRNA) component of the spliceosome (involved in pre-mRNA splicing). Its 5' end forms complementary base pairs with the 5' splice junction, thus defining the 5' donor site of an intron. There are significant differences in sequence and secondary structure between metazoan and yeast U1 snRNAs, the latter being much longer (568 nucleotides as compared to 164 nucleotides in human). NCBI's taxonomy places the organism in Eukaryota, Metazoa, Chordata, Actinopteri, Perciformes, Gasterosteidae. The record is from Ensembl.
AUACUUACCUGGCAGGGGAGAUACCAUGAACAAGAAAGGUGGAUCAUCUAUGUGGAGGGCUCCGUCAUUGCGCUGCGAACUGUCCUGACUACUGCGAAAUUCACCAAUGUGGAAUCUCGACUGCAUACAUUGGAGCAAGUGGAGGACUGCGUUCGCGUCUACUCUGA